CUACGCUGCGAUAAGCCGUGGGGAGCUGCGAAGAAGCUUUGAUCCACGGAUUUCCGAAUGGGGAAACCCACCUUCGAUAGCUGGAACUCCAAGAUCUCGUAUCUUGGGGUUCAGACAGCAAUGUGUGAGACCAAGCCGCGAGGUUUUGGAUUUCCAGUUAUCAAGUGAAGGUAUGAAAUCUCUGAAUUCAUAGGAGGUUUUAAGCGAACCCAGGGAACUGAAACAUCUAAGUACCUGGAGGAAAGGACAUCAAUCGAGACUCCGUUAGUAGUGGCGAGCGAACGCGGACCAGGCCAGUGAUACAUCAAAGACAACCGGAACCUGUCAGGAAAGCAGGGCCUCAGAGGGUGAUAGCCCCGUACGGGUAAUGCGAUGAUGUAUCCACGAGUAAGGCGGGACACGUGUAAUCCUGUCUGAACAUGGGGGGACCACCCUCCAAGCCUAAGUACUCCUCAGCGACCGAUAGU
RNAcentral lists this ribosomal RNA (467 nucleotides) under Bradyrhizobium jicamae. Its description in RNAcentral is "bacterial LSU rRNA". It matches the Rfam family "Bacterial large subunit ribosomal RNA", at positions 61 to 491 of the family's 2925-position model. The record is from RNAcentral. RNAcentral also lists the same sequence under 2 other names. Lineage: Bacteria; Pseudomonadati; Pseudomonadota; Alphaproteobacteria; Hyphomicrobiales; Nitrobacteraceae.